AACGCACCUUGCGCCCCGUGGUAUUCCGCGGGGCAUGCCUGUUUGAGUGUCACGUGAAACCUCACCCCGGUGAUCUUAAAACGUCGCCGUGGGGUGGAUUUGGACCGUGCCGUAGUAGGCUCGUCCUGAAAUGCAUUAGCCUGGUCGGUGGAACCGCAUGGCCGUGGUGUGAUAAUCUAUCUGUGCCAGUAAGUGCCCGUGCGUAAAUCGCCUUUGACCGGCUCACCAGUCGUCCGAUAGGACAAUGAUACACUUGACAGUUUGGCCUCAAAUCAGGUAGGACUACCCGCUGAACUUAA
Molecule: unclassified non-coding RNA, 299 nt
Filed under: uncultured fungus
Lineage: Eukaryota; Fungi
Description: partial contains 5.8S ribosomal RNA, internal transcribed spacer 2, and large subunit ribosomal RNA
Rfam family: 5.8S ribosomal RNA (bases 1-52)
Source: RNAcentral